RNAcentral lists this ribosomal RNA (567 nucleotides) under uncultured bacterium. RNAcentral describes it as "bacterial SSU rRNA". It matches the Rfam family "Bacterial small subunit ribosomal RNA", at positions 337 to 918 of the family's 1533-position model. The record is from RNAcentral.
UCCUACGGGAGGCAGCAGUGAGGAAUUUUCCGCAAUGGGCGAAAGCCUGACGGAGCAAUGCCGCGUGGAGGAUGAAGGCCCGUGGGUUGUAAACUCCUUUUCUUAGAGAAGAAGAUCUGACGGUAUCUAAGGAAUAAGCAUCGGCUAACUCCGUGCCAGCAGCCGCGGUAAUACGGAGGAUGCAAGCGUUAUCCGGAAUCAUUGGGCGUAAAGGGUCCUGAGGUGGCCUGCCCAGUCCGCUGUGAAAGAUCAGGGCUCAACCCUGAAUAUGCGGUGGAAACUAGCAGGCUAGAAUACGGUAGGGGCAGGGGGAAUUCCCGGUGUAGCGGUGAAAUGCAUAGAUAUCGGGAAGAACACCAACGGCGAAGGCACCCUGCUGGGCCGAUAUUGACACUGACAGACGAGAGCUAGGGGAGCGAAUGGGAUUAGAUACCCCAGUAGUCCUAGCCGUAAACGAUGGAUACCAAGUGCUGAACGACUCAAAACGUGCAGUGCUGCAGCUAACGCGCUAAGUAUCCCGCCUGGGGAGUAUGCCCGCAAGGGUGAAACUCAAAUGAAUUGACGGGG